Molecule: ribosomal RNA, 768 nt
Filed under: uncultured Chloroflexota bacterium
Lineage: Bacteria; Bacillati; Chloroflexota
Description: bacterial SSU rRNA
Rfam family: Bacterial small subunit ribosomal RNA
Source: RNAcentral
CAGUCGAACGGUGGUAGCAAUACUACAGUGGCGCACGGGUGAGUAACACGUAGCUUACCUCCCUCUCAGCGCGGGAUAACGACUCGAAAGAGUUGCUAAUACCGCAUAAGCUCACAGUCUCUAGAGGACUGUGAGAAAAGGUGCAAAUCACUGAGAGACGGGGCUGCGGCCCAUCAGCUAGUUGGGGCGGUAAUGGCGCACCAAGGCGACGACGGGUAGGGGACCUGAGAGGGUGACCCCCCACACUGGGACUGAGACACGGCCCAGACUCCUACGGGAGGCAGCAGUGAGGAAUAUUGCACAAUGGGCGCAAGCCUGAUGCAGCGACGCCGCGUGGGUGAAGAAGGUCUUCGGAUCGUAAAGCCCUUUUCUGCGUGACGAGCAAGGACGGUAGCGCAGGAAUAAGUCUCGGCUAACUACGUGCCAGCAGCCGCGGUAAAACGUAGGAGACAAACGUUAUCCGGAGUUACUGGGCGUAAAGGGCGUGUAGGCGGUUUGUUAAGUCUGGCGUGAAAGCUCUCGGCUAAACCGGGAGAGGUCGUUGGAUACUGGCGAACUAGAGGAUGGUAGAGGCGUGUGGAAUUCCGGGUGUAGUGGUGAAAAUGCGUAGAGAUCCGGAGGAACACCAGUGGCGAAGGCGACACGCUGGGCCAUACCUGACGCUAAAGCGCGACAGCAUGGGGAGCAAACGGGAUUAAAACCCCGGUAGUCCAUGCCGUAAACGAUGCCAGCUAGAUUUUCAGUUCUCGCAGAGAGCGGGGUUAUCGA